GGGGAUUUAGCUCAGUGGUAGAGCGCUUGCCUAGCAAGUACAAGUCCCUGGGUUCAGUCCCCA
RNAcentral lists this transfer RNA (63 nucleotides) under Rattus norvegicus (Norway rat). It matches the Rfam family "tRNA". Rfam says of the family: Transfer RNA (tRNA) molecules are approximately 80 nucleotides in length. Their secondary structure includes four short double-helical elements and three loops (D, anti-codon, and T loops). The record is from Rfam by way of RNAcentral. Lineage: Eukaryota; Metazoa; Chordata; Mammalia; Rodentia; Muridae.